This 28-nucleotide small RNA is filed under the name Bombyx mori (domestic silkworm). RNAcentral's name for it is "ovarian small RNA-19984". Lineage: Eukaryota; Metazoa; Arthropoda; Insecta; Lepidoptera; Bombycidae. The record is from RNAcentral.
UACAAAAGGAACUACAAACACUUAAAGA